Molecule: ribosomal RNA, 253 nt
Filed under: uncultured bacterium
Lineage: Bacteria
Description: partial 16S ribosomal RNA
Rfam family: Bacterial small subunit ribosomal RNA
Source: RNAcentral
GACGAACCGUGCGAGCGUUGUUCGGAAUCACUGGGCUUAAAGGGCGCGUAGGCGGGUCGGCAAGUCCGGGGUGAAAGCCCCCAGCUCAACUGGGGAAGGGCCUUGGAAACUGCCGGUCUCGAGGGAGGUAGGGGCCUGUGGAACUUCGGGUGGAGCGGUGAAAUGCGUUGAUAUCCGAAGGAACGCCGGUGGCGAAAGCGACGGGCUGGAUCUCUUCUGACGCUGAGGCGCGAAAGCUAGGGUAGCGAACGGG